RNAcentral lists this ribosomal RNA (253 nucleotides) under uncultured bacterium. Its description in RNAcentral is "partial 16S ribosomal RNA". It matches the Rfam family "Bacterial small subunit ribosomal RNA", at positions 524 to 776 of the family's 1533-position model. The record is from RNAcentral.
UACAGAGGGGGCCAGCGUUAUUCGGAAUUAUUGGGCGUAAAGGGCGCGUAGGCGACUUUGCGUGUCUUUCGUGAAAUCCCUCGGCUCAACUGAGGACGUGCGGAAGAAACUGCAGGGCUGGAGUCCGGGAGAGGAGGGUGGAAUUCCCAGUGUAGCGGUGAAAUGCGUAGAUAUUGGGAGGAACACCGGUGGCGAAGGCGGCCCUCUGGACCGGUACUGACGCUGAUGCGCGAAAGCGUGGGGAGCAAACGGG